RNAcentral lists this ribosomal RNA (468 nucleotides) under uncultured bacterium. RNAcentral describes it as "partial 16S ribosomal RNA". It matches the Rfam family "Bacterial small subunit ribosomal RNA", at positions 28 to 507 of the family's 1533-position model. The record is from RNAcentral.
GACGAACGCUGGCGGCGUGCUUAACACAUGCAAGUCGGACGGAAAGGCCCUGCUUUUGUGGGGUGCUCGAGUGGCGAACGGGUGAGUAACACGUGAGUAACCUGCCCUUGACUUUGGGAUAACUUCAGGAAACUGGGGCUAAUACCGGAUAGGAGCUCCUGCUGCAUGGUGGGGGUUGGAAAGUUUCGGCGGUUGGGGUUGGACUCGCGGCUUAUCAGCUUGUUGGUGGGGUAGUGGCUUACCAAGGCUUUGACGGGUAGCCGGCCUGAGAGGGUGACCGGCCACAUUGGGACUGAGAUACGGCCCAGACUCCUACGGGAGGCAGCAGUGGGGAAUAUUGCACAAUGGGCGGAAGCCUGAUGCAGCAACGCCGCGUGCGGGAUGACGGCCUUCGGGUUGUAAACCGCUUUCGCCUGUGACGAAGCGUGAGUGACGGUAAUGGGUAAAGAAGCACCGGCUAACUACGUG